Molecule: ribosomal RNA, 473 nt
Filed under: uncultured bacterium
Lineage: Bacteria
Description: bacterial SSU rRNA
Rfam family: Bacterial small subunit ribosomal RNA
Source: RNAcentral
CUCGAUCACUCCUACGGGAGGCAGCAGUGGGGAAUAUUGCACAAUGGGGGAAACCCUGAUGCAGCCAUGCCGCGUGUGUGAAGAAGGCCUUCGGGUUGUAAAGCACUUUCAGUAGGGAGGAAGGUAGUGUAGUUAACACCUGCAUUAUUUGACGUUACCUACAGAAGAAGCACCGGCUAACUCCGUGCCAGCAGCCGCGGUAAUACGGAGGGUGCGAGCGUUAAUCGGAAUUACUGGGCGUAAAGCGCAUGCAGGUGGUUUGUUAAGUCAGAUGUGAAAGCCCGGGGCUCAACCUCGGAAUAGCAUUUGAAACUGGCAGACUAGAGUACUGUAGAGGGGGUAGAAUUUCAGGUGUAGCGGUGAAAAUGCGUAGAGAUCUGAAGGAAUACCGGUGGCGAAGGCGGCCCCCUGGACAGAUACUGACACUCAGAUGCGAAAGCGUGGGGAGCAAACAGGAUUAGAUACCCUGGUAG